AACGAACGCUGGCGGCAUGCCUAACACAUGCAAGUCGAACGAAGGCUUCGGGCUUAGUGCCGCACGGGUGCGCAACGCGUGGGAAACUGCCCUUUGCUUUGGCAUAACAGUUAGAAAUGACUGCUAAUACCGGCUGUUGUCGCAAGACCGAAGAUCUAUCGGCCAAGGAUGAGCCCGCGUAGGAUUACCUACUGGGUGGGGUAAAGGCGUAUCAAGGCGACGUUCGUUAGCUGGUCUGCGAGGCUGAUCCGCCACACUGGGACUGGGACACGGCCCGGACUCCUGCGCGAAGCGGCAGUGCCUGAUCCUGGACAGUGGGCGCAAGGCUGAUCGAGCUCUGCCGCGUGAGUGCUGUAGGUCUUAGGGUAGUAAAGCUCGUUUACCCGGGAUGAUAAUGACAGUACCGAGAGAAUAAGCACCGGCUAACUCCGUG
RNAcentral lists this ribosomal RNA (433 nucleotides) under uncultured bacterium. RNAcentral describes it as "partial 16S ribosomal RNA". It matches the Rfam family "Bacterial small subunit ribosomal RNA", at positions 29 to 507 of the family's 1533-position model. The record is from RNAcentral.